CCUACGGGAGGCAGCAGUGGGGAAUAUUGCACAAUGGGGGAAACCCUGAUGCAGCGACGCCGCGUGAGUGAAGAAGUAUCUCGGUACGUAAAGCUCUAUCAGCAGGGAAGAAAAUGCCGGUACCUGACUAAGACGCCCCGGCUAACUACGUGCCAGCAGCCGCGGUAAUACGUAGGGGGCAAGCGUUAUCCGGAUUUAAUGGGGGUAAAGGGAGCGUAGACGGCAGCGCAAGGCUGGAGUGAAAUCCCGGGGCUUAACCCCGGAACUGCCUUGGAAACUGGGCGGCUGGAGUGCAGGAGGGGUAAGCGGAAUUCCGAGUGUAGCGGUGAAAUGCGUAGAUAUUAGGAGGAACACCGGUGGCGAAGGCGGCUUACGGGACGGUAACUGACGUUGAGGCACGAAAGCGUGGGGAGCGAACAGGAUUAGAUACCCGAGUAGUC
Molecule: ribosomal RNA, 440 nt
Filed under: uncultured bacterium
Lineage: Bacteria
Description: partial 16S ribosomal RNA
Rfam family: Bacterial small subunit ribosomal RNA
Source: RNAcentral